Long non-coding RNA from Asparagus officinalis (garden asparagus), 284 nucleotides. RefSeq lists it as uncharacterized. The transcript has 3 exons. The record is from RefSeq and is a predicted model, not a curated record. NCBI's taxonomy places the organism in Eukaryota, Viridiplantae, Streptophyta, Magnoliopsida, Asparagales, Asparagaceae.
UUCAAUCCCCAUUUAAAUGAUAGACUAGAGAAAAAUAAUAAUUCGCAAUUUCUCUCUCUUUGUUCCUGUCUUCAAUCUGAAGAAUUCUAGGGUUUGCCUUCAUCGAGAGUGUUCGGCGCAAUUACUGUUGAUGACAUUGCUUUUGCUUCCUCGAUUGUUGGAUUUAAUCUGAUCAGGGAUUUGAAAGUUGGGUAUUGAUAGAACUGCAACGAUGAGAUUGAGAAAAGGUAGCAAGGUGGAGGUUUUGAGCAAGAUUGAGUGCUCAGGAUUUGGUUUUCUGCUGA